Molecule: long non-coding RNA, 467 nt
Filed under: Phoenix dactylifera (date palm)
Lineage: Eukaryota; Viridiplantae; Streptophyta; Magnoliopsida; Arecales; Arecaceae
Description: long non-coding RNA (PDAC_LNC015756)
Source: RNAcentral
UUCCGUUAGGGAGUUGUAAGACUUAUUUAUACUUGGGUGCUUGGUAAAAUCUAGACCAUACACAAACUAAGGUUUUAGAUUCCCCAAAAUACUGCUAAAGCUAGUAGUUUCCAAGAAUUGGUCAGAUAAGACUUAUUUACUGAUUCAAAAUCAUCCUAUCUUGCAGGAUUUCGAGAAUUAUGGAUGUUUACUUUAAUACCUCAUUGGCUUUAUCUAUAAUAUUCCAGUUUACUCGAAUUUUUACAACGAUGGCUUUCACACUAUCGUCUUUUUCAAGGUCAAAUAUUAUUUUCUCUUUUUCUAUUUUUUUUCUAUUUUUUUUAUUAUUUUGUAUAAAUUAUGCACUUUUACUCUUGUAAUGAUUCCUUCAUGUAACGAGCAUUCAGUCAACACUCCCACACCAGAUGGCAUAAGGUGUUGGGCAUCAAGACUCCCCUACGGACUUAUGCUCGGGUUCAUCAUCACAA